GGAAGGAUCAUUAACACUUUUCGGCACGUUCUCGUGCUUUCAACCACAUGUCGACUCGGUAACGUUUUUGUAUUUUUCAAACCGUACUGAACACUAGCCGAACUAAAGUUUAUCACAUUUAUAAAAGUUACAACUCUUAGCAAUGGAUAUCUUGGUUCCCACAACGAUGAAGAACGCAGCGAAAUGCGAUACGUAAUGCGAAUUGCAGAAUUCAGUGAAUCAUCAAAUCUUUGAACGCAAGUUGCGCUCUCGAGAUAUCCUUGAGAGCAUGCCUCUUUGAGUGUCGGUUUCUACUAAUUCGUUCUGAACGAGUGAUUGCGAGGUUUCGACGUGAUCUCGCUUUGUCUAAACCGGGAGUGCUGAACUUUUUGACGUUUGUUCGAUCAAGUUCUCGCUUCGUUCUGUCUGUUCGGUCUUUAUCGAUCGAUCGACACCAACACCAACAACAGAUCUCAAAUGAGGCAAGACUACCCGCCGAAUUUAAGCAUAUAAUUAAGCGGAGGAAAAGAAACUAACUAGGAUUCCCUCAGUAACGGCGAGUGAAGCGGGAAGAGCUCAAACCGAAAAUCACUGUCGCCAGGCAGCGAAUUGUGGUCUAUUGAGGCGUGUCUCAGCAGUCGGUCCCGGCCUAAGUCCAUUGGAACAUGGCAUCAGAGAGGGUGAGAAUCCCGUCUUUGGCUGGGGUGCCGUCGCGUUCGAGCCGUCCUCGAAGAGUCGGGUUGCUUGGGAGUGCAGCCCUAAGUGGGUGGUAAAUUUCAUCUAAAGCUAAAUACAUGUGGGAGACCGAUAGCGAACAAGUACCGUGAGGGAAAGAUGAAAAGAACUUUGAAAAGAGAGUUAAAAAGUACUUGAAAUUGCUGAGAACGAAGGGAUGGCGACUAGUAAUGAUCGGGGUGAUUCUUUCCGGUAGGCUGUCGAUAUUGGCGGUGCGUUCGAUUGCAUUCCAGCUUCGACGUGUUGUCAUUGGUCGGCAGACUCCGGGUCCUGUCGCCCUGUGUCAAGGUCAGAAUGGGUUCGUAUCGGUCGAAACCGCUCCGGGCAAGGUAGCUCGCUUCACGGCGAGAACUUAUAGGCCUGCGGGCGAUAGAUCGUAACGGUCCGAGGUGUCGAAACACGCGCUCUAAGCUUUGGCGAGGCUGUUGCUGUUGGGUCGGCGUCGUUGGGGAACAAAGUUCCGUCUCGAUUGUCGGCUCGCACUCGGCGGUCCGUCCAUAUGUCGUGUUGACGAUUCUGACGAAAUGGUCGUCAUUCACCCGUCUUGAAACACGGACCAAGGAGUCUUACAUAUAUGCGAGUAAUCAAGUGGAAAACUUGCUUGCGGAAUGAAGGUGAAUGAGUGUGAUCGCCUGUCCCUAGUGGGCGGCGAGCAACACCGGGCGGCUAAGAUAACUGUACGACCAUGAGCAUAUCUGUAGGGACCCGAAAGAUGGUGAACUAUGCUUGAGCAGGAUGAAGCCAGGGGAAACUCUGGUGGAAGUCCGAAGCGAUACUGACGUGCAAAUCGUUCGUCUGACUUGAGUAUAGGGGCGAAAGACUAAUCGAACUAUCUAGUAGCUGGUUCCCUC
Molecule: unclassified non-coding RNA, 1565 nt
Filed under: uncultured fungus
Lineage: Eukaryota; Fungi
Description: sequence contains 18S rRNA gene, ITS1, 5.8S rRNA gene, ITS2, 28S rRNA gene
Rfam family: Eukaryotic large subunit ribosomal RNA (bases 448-1565)
Source: RNAcentral